UUCGUAGGUGGUUUAUUAAGUCUGGUGUUAAAUGCAGAGGCUCAACUUCUGUUCGGCACUGGAUACUGGUAGACUUGAAUGCGGUAGAGGUAAAGGGAAUUCCUGGUGUAGCGGUGAAAUGCGUAGAUAUCAGGAGGAACAUCGGUGGCGAAAGCGCUUUACUGGGCCGUAAUUGACACUGAGGAACGAAAGCCAGGGUAGCAAAUG
RNAcentral lists this ribosomal RNA (207 nucleotides) under uncultured bacterium. RNAcentral describes it as "partial 16S ribosomal RNA". It matches the Rfam family "Bacterial small subunit ribosomal RNA", at positions 568 to 774 of the family's 1533-position model. The record is from RNAcentral.